GCUUUCUUCAAGGGGCCGUUGAGGCUUGGGCUUGAAGGUGGAUGAUUGUUGAUCCAAAGGGCCGUCGGGGCUUGAUCUUAGGAUGAACGAAGAACGAAGAACGAAGAGAGCUUUCUUGAUUCUUCGGGAACCUGGAUGCUUGAGAGCUUCGGAGUUUCAGAGCUUCAGAGCUUGCUUAAUGAUUUUGGUUCUCCCAAAUGAAUGAAAUGGGCUUGUAUUUAUAGAAUUUUCCAAGACCUAAUUUUGAAUAUAAUAUCCCAGAUGAAAUAAGUCGUUUCUGCCAGGUGUUGACACGUGUCUUAUUUGAUGACUUUUCCAACUCAUUUCAAUUUUUCGUGAGAGUCACAUGCUACGUGUAAAAUUUAUGCAAUACAUGAGCGUUGACACUUUGAUUUAUCGGUCAACAUUUAUUUACCGAAAUUUCGAUGUCUACAAAUGCCCCCACUUCAAAGCACGUCGUAUACAUGUGAUUGUCACGUGUAGGAGAUGCGUUUUGAAGUCCCUUACUGUAGAUGUCGAUCCAAGGGCCGUCGAGGCUUGAUCUUGAAUUGGGCUGGAGAUUUCUUCAAGGGGCCGUUGAGGCUUGAUCUUGAAUUGGGCUUGAGAUUUCUUCAAGGGCUGUCGAGGCUUGAUCUUGAAUUGGGCUUGAGAUUUCUUCAAAAGGUCGUUGAGGCUUGUUCUUGAACUUUUGUUUGGAAUUUCUUCAAGGGCCGUCGAGGCUUGAUCUUGAAGGUUGAAAUUGGGCCACAAGGAGCUUCAUGUGGUAGAUGAUAUUUGGCUUUGGUAGUGGAUGAAUCGGCACGUAUUUUGUUACGCUUGUUGACUUUCCACAACUUUGAUCUUGAACUGGGUUGGAGGAUUUUUUGGAUUCCUCCAAUUGUUGAUUUUCCACAGCUUGUUCUUGAACUGGAUUUGAUUCAAAUAUGGUGAACGCUUGAUCUUGAAUCGGACUUGUGAUUUCCUCAAGGGCCGUCGAGGCUUGAUCUUGAAUUUGGCCGGAAACUUCUUCAAGGGCCGUUGAGGCUUGUUCUUGGACUUCGUUUGAAAUUUCUUCAAGGGCCGUCGAGGCUUGAUCUUGAAGGUUGAAAUUGGACCACAAGGAGCUUUAUGUGGUAGAUGAUAUUUGGCUUUGGUAGUGGAUGAAUCGGCACGUAUUUAUUUUUGCGCUUUGUUGACUUUCCACAGCUUUGAUCUUGAACUGGGUUGGAGGAUUUUUUUGGAUUCCUCCAAUUGUUGAUUUUCCACAGCUUAUUCUUGAACUGGAUUUGAUUCAAAUAUGGUGGACGCUUGAUCUUGAAUCAGACUUAUGAUUUCCUCAAGGGCCGUCGAGGCUUGAUCUUGAAUUUGGCCGGAAACUUCUUCAAGGGCCGUUGAGGCUUGAUUCUUGAAGGUUGACUCGAACACAUGGCAAGCAGGCACGAGGUGAAGGUGACAACCUGUUUCUUUGUUCAAUCUUUCUAAUUCACACCUGAGCAGUUUGGUUAACGGUAUGAUCUUCAAGAUUGAUGGGCUUUUCUUCCAGUUGGUGACUUGAUCUUUAAGGAUUCGAUUCAAGGGUGGUGAAUCGGCACGUGCAGCCCACAACGCCUAGUAAGUCGACCCAAGAAUUUGAGGGUCAAAACAAGUUCACUGUCCUCAGGCAGAUGCGACAUCUUCUCGAGUUCUUCAUCUCAGACUCUUUCUGCUGAGUUGACUGUGCAUGCUGCAUUCUUCUCUGCUUGUUUUUUCAGGCAGAUAUGGCAGCUUCUCGAGUUCCUCAGUUCGGACUCCUUCUGCUGAGUUGACCGUGCAGGCCGCAUUCUUCUCUGCUUGUUGCUUCUGCACCUUGUCUCCACAUGCUGCAAGGUAUCAUUUUCACUUGCCUUAUCUGUUCUUCAGGCAGAUGUGGCAACUUCUUUGAAAGUACAGCAGCAGUGGAAGGCGAGUACUCGAGAGCAGUGCUAGGUAGGCAAUCAGGGAAGGGUUCCAAGCAGUCGGUUCCUUACCCGAGUUUGAGUGGAAGUUCCGGCAUAUUGUUUUCUUUAUCCUUGUCUUUGUAGGUAAGAACAAGGACAAAGGAAAUGACAGGGAGAACGCAUGAUAUGAAAUACUCUUGCUUUCUACCCUGGUGAUAUGAGAUACUUUUGCUUUGGAGUCAUUGGCUUGUAGAGGUACCCCAAGGAAUAAGGAACACUGGGUAACUCAAGAGGCUUCGUUGGGAAGGCAUUCUCAGAGAUGAAGGUUCUGUAUGUCUGCCUUGCUAUGGAGGGUGAAGAUGGACAGUUAUAGGAAGUUCUUUAACACCUGUAGAUGUACUAUUCUUUCACUCGUGUCGGCAACCGUUGGAUGAUUGAACAGUAUACUUCACGUGCUUUCUCCUUCACCGAAAAUCUUCGACAAAUUGCCCGUGAUUUUUGCCAAGAUGAGUGUGCAUGUGACAGGUGUUGACGCGGCUGAAAAUGACUGGCGCCUCUUCGAUAUCUGGGAUUGGCGCUUCGACAAAUUACCCGUGAUUUCCGCAAAGCUGAGUUUGCGUGUGAUGGGUGCGACGCGUCUGGAAAAGCAAGAUGCUUCUCCGAUUUCUGAGCUUGCCUCUUCGAUUUUUGAAUGGCCUCUUUGAAUUCUGAGCGCGCCUCUUCGAGCUCUGAAAUCCCGUCGAGCGCUGAUUUUUAUAGAGGCUUGCAGUUCGUUUCAAAGCACACUUGAAUUUUCACUUGUGAAAACUCCCUUCUUGCACUUCUAAGAUCUUGAUUUGUCCGAUCUCUUAUUUCUUCAACACUUUAAAAAUGUCUGGACCCUCCGACCGUCGUUUUGACUUGAAUCUUGGUGAAGAGGCAGUCCCGCCUUCUCCAGACAACAUAUGGCGCCCAUCCUUCAUAUCCCCUACUGGUCCUCUUACCGUUGGGGAUUCGGUGGUGAAGAAUGAUAUGACUGCUGCGGUGGUGGCCCGGAACCUUGUCACUCCCAGAGAUAACAGACUACUUUCCAAACGGUCUGAUGAGUUGGCUGUUAAGGAUUCUCUGGCUCUCAGUGUGCAGUGUGCGGGUUCUGUGUCCAACAUGGCCCAACGCCUAUUUGCUCGAACCCGUCAAGUUGAAUCGUUGGCGGCUGAAGUAAUGAGUCUCAAACAAGAGAUCAGAGGGCUCAAGCAUGAGAAUAAACAGCUGCACAAGCUCGCACACAACUAUGCCACCAACAUGAAGAGGAAAAUUCGACCAGAUGCAGGAAUCUGAUGGUCAGAUUUUACUUGAUCAUCGGAGGUUUGUGGGUUUGUUCCAGCAACAUUUGCCUUCGUCUUCUGGGGCUGCACCGCGUAAUGAAGCUCCGAAUGAUCAACUUCCGAUACCUCUUCCUUCUGUGGCUCCGCCGACCGCUGAAGCUCCGCCUGAGCAACCUUUGUGAAGGCUCUCUCAUUCUCUCGUUUGUUUAUUUUGACUUAUGUAUAUUUGCAAUUUAUCAAAACGUUUUAAUAAAUGAACUUUAUUUCUCUAAAUGUCUAUAUACUUUUUUUUUUUUUUUUUUUUUUUUUUUUUCACAAAGUAUCGACGAAAAUUUUGUUGUACUUUGAUUGCGACGGGGCAAACUGAGCAGCCAAGCUCAAAUGCACCCUUCUUAAACGUAACAGUGUAGUGAUUGUUUACAUCCGUUCCUUCGGGAAAUAUAAGGAGAGGGUUAUUGUCUACCCCCAGCACACGGGUCCCUUGAUUUCUUUGUUACAAUUUCCCCGCUCCUUUGCCUCUGAACGAUUGAACCAAAUGCACCCUAUGCUCUCCAGAAUAGUGCUUUGCAACAAUCCAACCCGUCCAGGAUGCUUUUGCUUAAUUACAGCAAAUGCUGUCAUUUGUUCCAAGGUGAUGAAAUCAAUCAUGGAAGUAUGAUUGGCCAUAAAGACCUGCUUAGGCGGCCUGCUGGGCCGUGGUCCGUGGGUGGUACUUCACAACCCCAGUCCAAGAUGCAACAAAGAAGCUACAAAUUAACUCUACCAAGGGCCUUUCUAAAUUCUUUCUUAAUUUAUCACGGCCCUUCAGCAGGAAGUGCCCUACGUGGUGAUUUAUUCGAUCUGAAACAUACAGCUAAAGCUGUAUGUCCUUUGUUUUCUCCCUAAAUAUGCUGUCUCCUGGCAGGUAGGUAUGGGCGUUUAAAGUCUCUCCAUCUUUAACAAAAGAUUGCUGCAUGUGAAUAUCAUCAUUCGGCGGCAUGUGCACUGUAGUGUUGGUCUGUUUUGGGUGUGUAUAAAUGAGCCUUCCUGUAAGGCUUCCAGGCAGGCAUUCAAUCCUUUCCCCCUUUUGCGGAUUUGAACCGGAGCUCGGCGCGGCGAGCCUCAAAUAAAAAUAUCGUCCUUCAUUUCCAUCCUUUUUUUUUUUCUGGCUCGAAUUCUCGAACCCAACUUCCGAAUCCACCUUGCCCGGAGCAACUCCUUUCUCUAACUCGGCCAAAACAGGCUUUACCGCUUCUACGACACGAAUAUCAUCCGGGUCGACUUCGUACCCCGCCUUUCGUGCUUGCCUGGCCAUCCAUUCCACGUGCUCAUUGACCUCAACGGAGGCGCCGACUGACGCGAGAGGCAGGACAUCGAGAGCCGUGCUCGCGGCCCGACUCGAGACCCUGAACUGAUUCGCCAUGCAGCGGAGAUAUGGCUUCGCACGGAUGAACUGCCGGGUAUGUCAGAACCCGGCGACCUGACCCGUUUGAUCUCUGAAUCAUUUCGAAAAGAAUGGAUAAAAGGUCUGAUCCUUAGAUUGGUGUCUUGUUUGUUUGUUCGUCAGCUGCACGUAUAUGUAUAUAUAUAUACCUUUGUCCGUCCCGGGAGCUGUAUGCAUAUAUAUAUAUAUAUGUAUAUUUGUUUGCAUGCCAUCUGUCCCGAGAGCUGCAUGCAUAUAUAUGUAUAUUUGUUUGCAUGCGUAUACGUAUAUAUAUAUAUAUUUGUUUGCAUGCAUAUAUGUACAUAUAUUUGUUUGCCCCCUCAUCUGUCCCGAGAGCUGCAUGCAUAUAUAUGUAUAUUUGUUUGCAUGUCAUCUGUCCCGAGAGCUGCAUGCAUAUAUAUAUAUAUAUAUAUAUAUAUAUAUUCGUUUGUCUUAUCAUCCUUACUAAUGGAUUUCCUUGUCAUACUGCUAGGGAUCUUUAAUUACGAAGCUUUCAGAGACGAGGCAUUUGGAGUGAGCGGGGCGUGAGCAUAUUUAUGCUUUCUACUACCCAGGGUUUGUGCCAGAGACUGCAACGGGGUUUCGCAGUGUAGUGCCUUUUGAUCAUAACUUUCCUUGGUGGCGACGUCGAAGUGCCUCUUGUCGCCGCUUGGAAGGACUGUCUCGCAGCUACCCCCUUUGCCGUGCUGCUGCUGAUUCAUUUUUUUUUUUCGAGGUCAUGGUAUUUUUUAAGUGCUUUAAGGGUGGCACCCUUACCAUUCUUGCGCAGGCAGGUGACUCGCAAGACAGAGGAACGACGUUGAAGCUUUACGAGCCCCUGACUGGUCCUAAAGCGCUUGCUCUUCCCGCGAAAGAUAACUCCAUGCAUAUUAAGUCGUGGUCUUCCGAAGUAUCUUGGGAUGUGGUGGAUUCUGUCCAAGCAGAUACGAAGAAGAAGGCACGCCUCUUGAAGAUUCUUAUCUUGAAUCCGUCGCACCACACCGGUGACAAUCAUUCGGCCUCAUUUAAGCUUCUUGGUGAUCACAUCCGCAUUGGAGCUAUGGCUUGGAAUGGUACCCUGUCUACCGCUGGAGAGGCCGUUUUUGAUGAGUUUUAUUGGGAGUGGCUCGAAGAUGUCUUAAGCCGAUCCAAGGAUAUGCUUACUAAGGUGGGCCUUUACCACGCUGUGUAUGCAUCCUUGUUUAGUUACGAUCGUCAUCCUUCUGUUAUUCGUGCGUUCUUAGAGUGUUGGUGUUCGGCCACCAACACACUUCACACAGCGCAAGGGGAGAUGUCAAUUUCACUUUGGGAUCUUCACAGGAUAGGAGGUUUGCCGAUCCAAGGCAAGUUUUACGACGAGGUCGUUCCCAGUGCAGAGGACCUUUCGCUUUGCAAUAACCGAGGAUUGCCUGCAAGUUGCCGCUAUUUGUUCUGGGCGUAUCACAGGCUUUUCCAGGAUGCUCGAGGUAAAUCAGGCGUGAGGAUUUCCUCAUGGAUCCGAUUCUGGUACUGGGAGGCCAUGAGGUAUAAGAAGCCUUUGAAGAAAAUUGGUCGUAACAAGACCACUAGGCCAAAGGGCGACUCAGACCCGUCCGGUGUUAUUGGCGCAACCAGGCGUCGCUCUUCUGACGAGUUGAGAGCAUUCGAGGAUCUUGGCAUAACACCAGAGCAUGUGGAGGAGUCUUACCUGGCUGCUUUCUUAGCUUGUUGGCUUUGUAAAUUUGUUUUCCCCGCAGGCGACGUCAACUUAGUUCGUCCUGAAGUUUUCAAAGUUGCUAGCAAGAUGGCUGCAGGUGAGUCUUUUAGCCUCGCUAUUCCGGUCUUAGCCAACAUUUACAAUGGCUUGAGCGUGGUUUCUGACUCGGCAAACACUGAAGAUCGUGCUGCGGUGCUCCCUUACCACUAUGUGUAUGGUUGGUUGGGUGAAUAUUUUGGCACUCAUUUUUCUCUGUCGACUCUGGAUAAGUCAAGGCCUUCUUCAUCGUCCGGAGCCAAGCUAGUGCCUUUGAUGACGAAGUAUUCUGGUGUGCUUUCCGCGAAGAGCCUUGACGAUUUGCAAGCGCGAGCGCUAUUUAAAAGUUGUGAAGAUUUGAGGAUGGACCCCUUAGCGAGAGUUGGCUCGGUGCGGCGAGGCGUUGUAGACAACUCGCAUCUCCGCUUCUCGGACUUGUCUUAUCUUAUAAGCCUUCGCUCAGGGUUUGUUUCUUUGCGGCAAGAAGACCGAUGUAUCAUCCAGUCAUAUAGCCCCCACCGUUUCAGCAGGCAAUUUUGGUUUUGUCCAAAGCGAGCCAGGCAAGUUGAAGGAAAGGAACCCAUCGGUAUCCCCGCAAGCCGUGUACAUGCAUUGGGAGUCUUUGUACCCGUUCAUGCACAAAUGCUGUUAUUACGCUGCCGGCCAAGGAUGAGUUCAUGAGUAAUCCAGUGACCCGUGUUUACGCACGUUGGUGGUCAAAGACACAUUAUAAGAACUCGGGGACGGCAAGUGGCACCCGUUCUUCUCACUUAAGAGAUGAUACGUCGAGAGAGGGUUGUCCUGUGAUUUCUAUGCAACUGGUACCCCUUGAUUGUGCAAGUGCGGCUCCCUUACAAGAUAGACCUGUAGCUUUAACUCUUCAACGUCCAUGCUUGUCCCCUCGACAUCCGGAUGCUUCCGAAGAGGCAGGGGAUGAAGGUGACUCGCCCGAAGAUGGACUCAUUUUGCAGCAGCGUCCACAAGUUUCAACCAAGAGAUCACUUGAGGAUGCUCAGGCUGACAGUGAUGUCAAUUUUCGUCACAAGAAGAAAGAAGCGCUUAGAACUCCUCAAUUCGAUGACCGUGCGCCAUUUGAGAGAGAUGUAUGUCCUUUAUUUUCUCUCACGAUUUCUUCUGCUUUUAUCGUUUUGGCUUUUUAUUUCUAACUUCUUUCUCCGUCUUCUUUAGGUUGGGCCUUCCCGUCAUUUUGAUUUGGCAACUGCAGAUGUUUAUUCCUAUACGAGGAUGCUAUUUGCAGGUAACCUACCUACAGACGGGGAUAUCGGGGAUCCUCCUGGUGCAGAGCUUGUUCCAAAUCCGUCGAACUUCCCGAGUUUGCCACGUGUGGGGUGGGGGGUAUGCAAGAACCCGUCAUGUGUCCAACGCCUUUGCCAGCUAGCUCUGAGAUCUCUUUGAGGGGGCCGAAUCUUAGCGGUACUGAGCGACUCAUCCAUCGCAUAAGCCUUGGUGCGGCAAUGGAGAUCAAGAGCCAUAUUGAGGCGAGGAUUUCUAAGUGUCCACUGGAAAAACCCCCGUUGCUUAAUGAGGAUUUGUCGAAGUUUGUUUCGGUGAUUGACAACCUUAACGUUGAUUCCUCCCCCUUGAAGAUCAAGAUUGCCGAACUCAUGGCCGCCUCAACUGAAUAUUCUUCCUUGCGUGCUAUUUCCUUAGAGAAUUUGAGUCCAGAUGUCAGAGCUCAUCAGCUAACCAUGAUAGACUCCUCACUGGCUCAAGUCUGGUCAUUUCAGCAAGCUGUUUCAGGAGAUUAUCAAGCCACGGAGGCUUCGUUAACUUCUGUCCAAGGGCGUCUAGAUGCAUUGGCGCGAGAGCGAGAGCAGUUGGUAGUUCGAGGCAUUACAACUUGAAAGUGUGUCCUCGCAGAGAGCAGGGAACUGCACUUUCUCAGUACCAAGAAGAGAUUUUCACGCCCUAGAACGAGAGAAAAACACGACUAUAGAAGUUACCCAUCUUGUCUCCCACCGAGGUAGAGACUUUGAAGACCUUGGAAGGCUCGCUUGGAGAUUGCCUUCGUAGCUUUAGAGACAUAGUUUUCAAGUAAUAUUUCUUGUAAUAAGGCCUUUGGAGCCAACUCCUUCUUUCAAAGAAAUAAAGCAUUUUAUGUUCUUGAAUUUGCUCCUCGAUCCUCAAAGUGUUUACUUAUUAUUACUAUUAUUUCUUUUAGAUGGUGUGACUGUACUUGAAGUUUUGACACUUCGAGUUGCCUACGUACCCUUUGUUGAGGAGGGAUCAAGUCAUAACGUAGUUCAAAAUACAUUAUAUAUAUAUAUAUAUAUAUAUAUAUAUUUUUUUUUUUUUUUUUUUUUUUUUUUUUUGCCGUUUGCAGUUUCAGCUCGUGCAGACCAGGAGCGUUGUGCCAUGCAGUUUAGGCUCGUGCAGGCGAGGAGCUUUGGUUCGUGCAGUUUAGGCUCGUGCGAACAAGGAGCAUUUGGUGCCGUGUUGCAGUUUCAGCUCGUGCAGGCAAGGAGCUUUGGGUUGUCGCAUUUUAUGCUCGUGCAGACCAGGAGCGUUGGUGUUGCCUUUUAUGCUCGUGCAGACCAGGAGCAUUGUGCCAUGCAAUUUAGGCUCGUGUAGGCGAGGAGCUUUGGUUCAUGCAGUUUUAGGCUCGUGCGAACAAGGAGCAUUGUGUCCUACAGUUUAGGCUCGUGCGGACAAGGAGCUUUUGUGAAUUUUGUCAAGCAAUCCGGGAGAGGCGUUCCUUACAAUUUUCAUAGCAAGGAGCUUUGACCGCGUGAUUGAAGAAGUCUUCGGGCAAGAAGUCGCGCAUCGUGAUGGGGACGGACGAUCUUCGUGUCGAAGUUUCAUCAUCUUCAACACGUUCAUGUUGCUUUGAAGGUUGACAAGAGCUACUUUGCCCCCUUUUCGAUUGGCGGACUUGUGGAGGAGACGUAUGCUUCUUAUGCAAUUUCUUAGGAGUGACUUGAGUCCAUCCUUCAACUUUGCUUGUCUUGGAGGAUGCCCCCAGCGGUUUAGGUGAAAACUUUGAGUCGGAAGAGCCAAAAGUGAAGGUGGUAUAGUUUGACUUCGCCACAUCGUCAAGAUCUAGCUCUAUGAUUCCUUUCUGAGCCAGCUUCAUGAUGAGAUCUUUCAACACGAAACAUUUUUCUGUCGGAUGACUGAUGAAGCGGUGGAAUUUACAGUACCUUGGACUGUCAGUGCGAUUCAUCUCUUCUAGCCGUCUGCACUCAGGCAAACUGAUCACCUUCUUGUCCAACAGGUCAUCUAGCAUGGCAACCACAUCAGAGUCGGGGAAUGGAUAAGUCUUCUCCUCAAGCUCCUUCAAAGUGCGUCUACGCAUCUCUUGAUCACGAAAAAGCUUCGGUUUGAAUCGCCUUGCCUCGUGUGGAUAUUUUUGACGGGAGAUGUGUUGACCGUCAUCGCUUCCUUGGUGGGUUUCCAUGCAGCCUUUUCCACCUUUGUCCCAAGAACUUUGUCGUUCUUGUAGUCGGCGGUCGGUUCUUUCUUCCCAUGAUGGGCGAUGCUCAACUCCAUGUCAUGGGCGCGAGUGGCCAAUUCCUCGAAGGUCCGCGGUUUAAUGCCUUGAAGGAUGUAUUGCAAACCCCAUUGCAUGCCUUGGAUGCACAUCUCGAUUGAAGAGGUUUCCGAGAUCCUGUCUUUACAGUCGAGGCUUAGAGUGCGCCAUCUGUUGAUGUAGUCAAUGACUGGCUCGUCCUUCCACUGCUUUGUGCUUGUUAGCUCUAGCAUGCUCACAGUGCGGCGGGUGCUGUAGAAGCGAUUGAGGAAUUCCCGCUCCAAUUGCUCCCAACUGUUGAUGGACUCAGGCUCCAGAUCCCGUGUACCACUCAAAGGCGUUUCCUUUCAGCGAGCGCACAAACUGCUUGGCGAGGUAGUCCCCUUCGGUUCCUGCGUUGUUGCAAGUUUCAACGAAGUGGGCAACGUGCUGUUUCGGGUUUCCCUUUCCAUCAAAUUGCAUGAACUUUGGUGGUUGAUAACCCAUCGGCAUCCUUAAGGCGUCGAUCUUCUUUUGAAUACGGCUUUGAGUACAACCCGGAGGUAUAUUGAGCUCCCUUCGUACUGUGCCUUGAUGGUGUUGGUGAUCAUCUCUUGCAGCUGCUUGGAUAGAAAGAGAUCCCAUGAGUGCCGCUGCUUGGUCUGGUUUCGGCUUCCCAUCGAUUUUCUUCACCGGGGGUUCUUCGUCUCCGCCAGCUCCUUCCUUUAGUGGAUCAUCCUCUGGGUCGGGUUUCUCGCUGUCCUGCGCCUCCAGUCGGUUGACUAAUGCCGCGAUUUGCAAGUCUUUUUCUUCCACAAUUCGAGUUAGUCUUGCGAUUGCUUCAUUCAUUUGAGCAAGCUGUUCCUCGACUGAAGUUGCUCCGGCGGUCAUGACUUGCAUGGCUGAACUGCCGCUUGAAUCGUCAUCGGAGAGCAUGGAUUCGGAGUAUUCCCUUGGUCUUUCCCCCCUUGGUGCCCUUAGUGAGGCUAAGGUGAUCAUAGGCUCGCGCCUGGGGUACUCUUGUCCAUUUGGCAGAGUUGAUGCAGAGGUGAAAGAGGUGGCAGAAGUAGCUCUUGCCAUGCUUCGAGUCGUGAUGCCCAAAGUGACACCACUUGCGACAAGGACGCUCUUGUUCUUUGCGCCGGUUGCGGGAACAGUUUGAGCCUUCCUUGAUGCCAUUAAUUUUCGAAGUGCGCUUGAAUUUCGGAGAAAGAGAUGAGAGGCAGAGAUGAUCCCACCGGGCGUGCCAAUUUGUGAACACGGAAAAUUCCUGAAACGAAAGAGACAAGAACAACGUGCACAAACAAAUAUUUGUGUUUGAUUUGAUGAUUUUGGGUUACAAUCUCUCUCUAUUUUGAUCCUCUGAUUCGAUCUCCGUAAGGUGUUGAUUUAUGGGAUGUGCGAUUGAUCCAAGGGCCGUCGAGGCUUGAUCUUGGAUGAACGAGGAUGAACGGAUCUUCAAGGGCUUUUGGGCUUGAUCUUGAAGAAUGGUGAUUGACGGAUCUUUAAGGGCUUUUGGGCUUGAUCUUGAAGAACAGUGAUGAACGGAUCUUCGAGAGCUUUUGGGCUUGAACGGAUCUUCGAGGGCUUUUGGGCUUGAUCUCGAAGAACAGUGAUGAACGAUGAACGCUUUCUUCAAGGGCCGUCGAGGCUUGGGCUUGAUGAACAACGGAUGAGCGGAUUCGUUGAUGUUGUCGAUCCAAAGGGGCCGUUGGGGCUUGAUCCUUGAGGAUGAACAGUUGAUGAACGAUGAACGAUGAACGCUUUCUUCAAGGGGCCGUUGAGGCUUGGGCUUGAAGGUGGAUGAUUGUUGAUCCAAAGGGCCGUCGGGGCUUAAUCUUAGGAUGAACGAAGAACGAAGAAC
RNAcentral lists this long non-coding RNA (11666 nucleotides) under Malus domestica (apple). RNAcentral's name for it is "long non-coding RNA (MDOM_LNC006583)". The record is from RNAcentral. Lineage: Eukaryota; Viridiplantae; Streptophyta; Magnoliopsida; Rosales; Rosaceae.